GAUGAACGCUGGCGGCGUGCCUAAUACAUGCAAGUCGAGCGAACAGACGAGGAGCUUGCUCCUUUGACGUUAGCGGCGGACGGGUGAGUAACACGUGGAUAACCUACCUAUAAGACUGGGAUAACUUCGGGAAACCGGAGCUAAUACCGGAUAAUAUAUUGAACCGCAUGGUUCAAUAGUGAAAGACGGUUUUGCUGUCACUUAUAGAUGGAUCCGCGCCGUAUUAGCUAGUUGGUAAGGUAACGGCUUACCAAGGCGACGAUGCGUAGCCGACCUGAGAGGGUGAUCGGCCACACUGGAACUGAGACACGGUCCAGACUCCUACGGGAGGCAGCAGUAGGGAAUCUUCCGCAAUGGGCGAAAGCCUGACGGAGCAACGCCGCGUGAGUGAUGAAGGUGUUCGGAUCGUAAAACUCUGUUAUUAGGGAAGAACAAAUGUGUAAGUAACUGUGCACGUCUUGACGGUACCUAAUCAGAAAGCCACGGCUAACUACGUG
RNAcentral lists this ribosomal RNA (497 nucleotides) under uncultured bacterium. Its description in RNAcentral is "partial 16S ribosomal RNA". It matches the Rfam family "Bacterial small subunit ribosomal RNA", at positions 28 to 507 of the family's 1533-position model. The record is from RNAcentral.